CCUACGGGAGGCAGCAGUGGGGAAUUUUCCGCAAUGGGCGAAAGCCUGACGGAGCAAUACCGCGUGAGGGAGGAAGGCUCUUGGGUUGUAAACCUCUUUUUUCAGGGAAGAUAAUGACGGUACCUGAGGAAUAAGCAUCGGCUAACUCCGUGCCAGCAGCCGCGGUAAUACGGAGGAUGCAAGCGUUAUCCGGAAUGAUUGGGCGUAAAGCGUCCGCAGGUGGUUUUAAAAGUCUGUUGUUAAAGCGUGAGGCUUAACCUCAUAAGGGCAAUGGAAACUGUAAGACUAGAGUACGUUCGGGGCAAGGGGAAUUCCCAGUGUAGCGGUGAAAUGCGUAGAGAUUGGGAAGAACACCGGUGGCGAAAGCGCCUUAGCUAGGCCGUAACUGACACUGAGGGACGAAAGCUAGGGGAGCGAAUGGGAUUAGAUACCCCAGUAGUCCUAGCCGUAAACGAUGGAUACUAGGCGUUGUCUGUAUCGACCCGGACAGUGCCGUAGCUAACGCGUUAAGUAUCCCGCCUGGGGAGUACGCACGCAAGUGUGAAACUCAAAGGAAUUGACGG
Molecule: ribosomal RNA, 563 nt
Filed under: uncultured bacterium
Lineage: Bacteria
Description: bacterial SSU rRNA
Rfam family: Bacterial small subunit ribosomal RNA
Source: RNAcentral